RNAcentral lists this ribosomal RNA (615 nucleotides) under Triticum aestivum (bread wheat). RNAcentral's name for it is "partial small subunit ribosomal RNA". The record is from RNAcentral. Lineage: Eukaryota; Viridiplantae; Streptophyta; Magnoliopsida; Poales; Poaceae.
AUGAGCUCGACUCGAGGACGAGCCAAAAUUCACUGUGAGAGGAUUGUUAGUGGCCAAGUUCACUAUUCCUAUGAGCUCUCUGUUCCUGACAAUUUAUAUCUGAAAAUUUUGGUAGACUUCCCUACCUUGGAGCUAGUGAGCUGUAAACUCCCACAGGAAUCGCGUCCGAUUUGGGAGCCAGUGAGCUCUGAAGGCGUGACAAGUAUGGUAGCAUUUGAGUUCUUUGCUUAUGUUACCAUAUCGAGCUCCCGCAGUCUGGAGUUUUGUCAAAGGAAGUUUUCAUGGGAUCCAAGCAUCUGGGCACUCCUAUGUUUAUUUGGAUUGCUCAUACAAGCUAAAACAGCAGGGAGGAGGAAUAUUGCAGAUCCAGCUUACUACCGAAUCCACUGCCUCGACCAUGCUUACUACUUCAACCAAGUUCAUGUUAACCAACACUACUACCUUGACGAUUUCUGUGACCAAAUGAACCUCAGCGACGACUACUUCCUUGAGCAAGUCGGAAUCGUCUGGUAUCUCAACCUUGCCAAGUUUCGCCUCAACUACGGCACCCACUGUGACCUCGGCGAAAUCAUGAAGCAUCAAGUACCAUGGAGCUUCGCCAUGGCAUCGGCUUGA